RNAcentral lists this transfer RNA (69 nucleotides) under Blarinella cf. quadraticauda KIZ AL11069. Its description in RNAcentral is "tRNA-Thr". It matches the Rfam family "tRNA". From Rfam's summary of the family: Transfer RNA (tRNA) molecules are approximately 80 nucleotides in length. Their secondary structure includes four short double-helical elements and three loops (D, anti-codon, and T loops). The record is from RNAcentral. Lineage: Eukaryota; Metazoa; Chordata; Mammalia; Eulipotyphla; Soricidae.
GUCUUUGUAGUAUAAUUAUUACACUGGUCUUGUAAACCAGAAAUGGAGAUUUUUCACCUCCCUAAGAUA